Molecule: ribosomal RNA, 112 nt
Filed under: Cebus imitator (Panamanian white-faced capuchin)
Lineage: Eukaryota; Metazoa; Chordata; Mammalia; Primates; Cebidae
Source: RNAcentral
GUCUACAGCCAUACCACCCUGAAUGCGCCCCAUCUCGUCUGAUCUUGGAAGCUAAGCAGGGUUGGGCCUGGUUAGUACUUGGAUGGGAGACCACCCCUGGGUGCUGUAGGCU